RNAcentral lists this long non-coding RNA (2368 nucleotides) under Homo sapiens (human). RNAcentral describes it as "HSALNT0230394". The record is from RNAcentral. Lineage: Eukaryota; Metazoa; Chordata; Mammalia; Primates; Hominidae.
AUUCUGAAGAAAAAGUUUAUUUUGUGUUUGUAAUUAGUGGUUGCUGUGGAGUCUUAUUAGGAAAGUUUAUUUUCAGGGUGGGGUGGGGUUGUUACAUUCCUGUAAUAUAAAUAUCCUGUGAGUUAAAAUGAGUGGAACAAAAAAGUCCUAUGAUUGUCAUUCAUUAAAUUAAUCUGAGAUUUACUAAAGAGUUCUAAAAGUCAUGAAGCACUACAGCAAAUGUCUUUUAUGUGCCCCUUUUGUUAUAAAAUAGAUCCCAUGUGCAUUUUAACUCUCAGUCCAAUAAACAACUAAACAACUUAGCAUAGAUAAUAACAUGUUUGGAAUGAAGGAAAAAAACUAGACAGAGGCUCUGGAAGCAUGGUCAAAAAGAAAAUAAGUUGAUUAUCUGGUUGCCCAGAGAAGAAAACUGUACAGGUCUUGAGAAAAGCAACUUAUGAAAUUGUUUUGUAGGAUUCUAAAGCUGAAAGUGGAUAAAAACAAAAUGGUAGCCACAUCCGGUGUAAAAAAAGCUAUAUUUGAUCGACUGUGUAAACAACUAGAGAAGAUUGGACAGCAGGUCGACAGAGAACCUGGAGAUGUAGCUACUCCACCACGGAAGAGAAAGAAGAUAGUGGUUGAAGCCCCAGCAAAGGGUAAGUUUUACUAACACGGUACUGACGUUGACAUUUUAUGCAGUGAACAGCCCAGUGCUGCUCUAGCAGCUUGCCUGACAGGAGUCCAGUUUUAAGUACAUUCUGACUGUGAAUCAUUUGAUAAGACCAGUUUUCCAAGCAAUCAGUAAUGGAAGUAACAUCGUUAUUGGGUAAUUAAGAAUAUGGCUGGUCUGGCACAGUGGCUUAUUCCUGUAAUCCCAGCACUUUGGGAGGCUGAGGCGGGAGGAUUGCUUGAGCCCAUGAGUGCGAGACCAGCCUGGGCAGCUACAGCUAGGUAUUUGUCUUAAACCUGGGCAUGGUCUGAUGGGAAGUCCCUAGUUGUAUAACAAGUCAGCUGGUUGGCUGUUUGUGAUUGGCUGGGGAUUAUUUUUGUCUUUCGGAGGUUCUUUUCCCCCGACAAAAGAAAUGUUUCCAAGUUAGGUUCCAGUUUGCUUAUAAGAGCUUUAGCUACAAAGACAAUCUCAGGCAAAUGGCUGCAUUAUUGUUUUAAUACCACCUACUGGCUAUGUGAUUUUUUGGUUUUUUUGUUUGUUUGUUUGAUUUUGGUUUUUUGGUUUCUCUUUUUCUGAGACAUGGCCUGGUUCUCUCACCCAUGCUAGAGUGCAGUGGCACGGUCUCGGCUCACUGCAGCCUCCGCCUCCUGAGCUCAAACCAUCCUCCCACCUCAGCCUCCCGAGUAGCUGGGACUACAGGCAUGUGCUACCACACCUGGCUAAUUUUUGUAUUUUUGAUAGAGAUGGGACCUCACUAUGUUACCCAGGCUGGUCUUGAACUCCUGGGCUCAAGUGACCCGCCCCCUUCACCUCCCAAAGUGCUGGGAUUACAGGCAUGAGCCACUAUGCCCAACCACUGGCUAUGGGAUUCUAAGAAAGUAUAAUUUCUGUGAGCCUCAAUUUCCUGACCUAUAAAAUGUGAUUAAUAUUAUCACCUAUUACGGAGUGUAGUAGGGGUUAAAUGAAAUAAUGCUAUUUAAAGUACUUGGUUCAGUGCCUAUCAAGCACCAGUUAAGUGCUUGAUAGACGUUAGCUAUUAUUAGAUGUCUUGGAAUGCUUGGAGUGUAAGGGAGGGAAAAAAGUGAUAGCUAAGCUAGGUGUGAUAGUGUGAGCCUAUAGUCCCAGCCACGGUCCCAGCUACUCAAGAGGUGGAGGUGGGAGGAUCAUUUGAACCUAGGAAUUUGAGUGCAGCCUGAGCAACAUUACAAGACCCCAUCUCAAAAAAAAGUGAUAACUGCUGUUUCUCCAUGUCAUUUCAGUAUCUUUUCUAUUUUAGACAAUUUAAACAAGUUUACCUUUUUUUAAAUUUCAUUUCUAAGCUAAGAAUUUUGAAAUUGCUUUUGAUAAUUUUCUGUCAGAAAUGGAGAAGGUAGAGGAGAUGCCACAUAAACCACAGAAAGAUGAAGAUCUGACACAGGAUUAUGAAGAAUGGAAAAGAAAAAUUUUGGAAAAUGCUGCCAGUGCUCAAAAGGCUACAGCAGAGUGAUUUCAGCUUCCAAACUGGUAUACAUUCCAAACUGAUAGUACAUUGCCAUCUCCAGGAAGACUUGACGGCUUUGGGAUUUUGUUUAAACUUUUAUAAUAAGGAUCCUAAGACUGUUGCCUUUAAAUAGCAAAGCAGCCUACCUGGAGGCUAAGUCUGGGCAGUGGGCUGGCCCCUGGUGUGAGCAUUAGACCAGCCACAGUGCCUGAUUGGUAUAGCCUUAUGUGCUUUCCUAC